Molecule: small RNA, 51 nt
Organism: Panthera pardus (leopard)
Lineage: Eukaryota; Metazoa; Chordata; Mammalia; Carnivora; Felidae
Source: Ensembl
AGUACCUGCCCUCCCUGGGCUUUUCAUCCCAAAUAGCUCUUUUUGGAGAUA